CUUUGUGGGAGGUGGUGUAGAUGUGAUGGGGUGGGAUUUCUUGGACCUGAUUCGCCUUUUGUAAGUAGAUGGUUGAGGAGGAGGAGAGGUUUGCAAUGGAGGGGAAUCAGAAUUCAGGGCUUGAAUGGCGAGAGGAGUGACUUGGAGGGAAGAGCCAUGAGGAGAAGGGGGUGGGGUUUCCAUGAAGAUCAAUGAUGAUGGGGAUGGAGAAAGAAAAGAAGAAAAGAAAAGAAAUGGAGGAGAAAUAUAAGGUUUUGGGUGGCGAAAAGAGAGAGAGAAGAAGAAGAGAUGGUGCCGAGAAAAAUGGGGAGAAGGGAGGUCUUGAACAGUAAAUACGGG
This 339-nucleotide unclassified non-coding RNA is filed under the name Hevea brasiliensis (rubber tree). Lineage: Eukaryota; Viridiplantae; Streptophyta; Magnoliopsida; Malpighiales; Euphorbiaceae. The record is from RNAcentral.